GGGGAUUUAGCUCAGUGGUAGAGCGUUUGUCUAGCAAGUGCAAGGCCCUGGGUUCGGUCCCCAGCUCCG
This 69-nucleotide transfer RNA is filed under the name Rattus norvegicus (Norway rat). It matches the Rfam family "tRNA". From Rfam's summary of the family: Transfer RNA (tRNA) molecules are approximately 80 nucleotides in length. Their secondary structure includes four short double-helical elements and three loops (D, anti-codon, and T loops). The record is from Rfam by way of RNAcentral. Lineage: Eukaryota; Metazoa; Chordata; Mammalia; Rodentia; Muridae.